Molecule: long non-coding RNA, 834 nt
Filed under: Gadus morhua (Atlantic cod)
Lineage: Eukaryota; Metazoa; Chordata; Actinopteri; Gadiformes; Gadidae
Description: lncRNA (ENSGMOG00000022176.1)
Source: RNAcentral
UUUCACGUAAAAUAAAAACAGAGUUUUCUUCUUGUUAGCAAUGCUUCAUAUAGUAGGUCUGAAGAUCACUGACAGGCUGUGUUACUUAAUAAUUUUUUUCAAUUGACCUUUCGCAAAACCCCGCCCCCAAACGGUCAUUGUCCAAUCAUACAUCCUAGCAACCGUUACUAUGUAAACAAGGUCCGACAAACAAAGUCCGACAAGCAAAAUGGUGAAGCGAUGUGCCUAUGGCGUAUGUGAAUCGGACAGUAGGUACCCAAAGAGUUUGGCUGGUUGAGUCGUGUUCUUUCCUUUUCCAAAGCCGAAAACACAACAGGAGCGGUGCCUACGAUGGAUCAAACAGUGUGGAAGGCCCCACUCCCAGCUAAAUGUCACGAAAAUAAACAAGCAUGCAUACGUCUGCUCCAAGCAUUUUGUGAAUGGACAGCCUACCCCUGAGUAUCCCGACCCUGUACUUGCUGUACAAGUGUCGAACCAGACUAGGGAGCAGCUCGGAGGCUGUCGAAAGCCACCCCAAAAACGAUGCAGAUUAAGUGUGCAGGAUGCCUCUGGCUCCACCUCCAGCACUGAUGAUGCAGACGAGACUCAACAGUAUAUUGUUGACAGUGGUGAGUGAUAAGCCUUUUUCAAGUUAAUACUGGCGUAACAGGAGUGGAAUAGCCUACCCAAUCCCAUUACCUCUGUAUUGUGUUGAAUGAUAGAAUAGGCAGCAAGAUGUUUCAGACAGUGAAUAAGUUCCUUUAUUGGCACUUUCAUUCUCUGUUCAGAGGUCAAAACAAACAAGAAGAACAAAGAAACAAGAGAACAAAAUAAGAGUCCAUACAUACAUACAGU